RNAcentral lists this long non-coding RNA (1832 nucleotides) under Heterocephalus glaber (naked mole-rat). Its description in RNAcentral is "lncRNA (ENSHGLG00000045794.1)". The record is from RNAcentral. Lineage: Eukaryota; Metazoa; Chordata; Mammalia; Rodentia; Bathyergidae.
AGCUCCUGCUGGUCUAACCUGCACAGCCUGGCUAGGAAGUAGGAAAGAAUCAACUCUGGCUGUGCCAGUUGACAGAAUUGAUCUCCUGGGCACUGGGAGGAAGGAAAUCAUGACAUAUGCUGCAACAUGGUUGAACCUUGAGGGCAUUAUCUUCAGUGAAAUAGGCCACUCACAAAAGAACCUGUCAAAUCUCCCCAUGGUGAUGAGCUCAGAUCCAGCAGAGUCAAGCCAAUAUUCAUUUGUUUUCAAGCAACUUUUCUCUCCUGAUCACCCGGAAAAUCCUUCCAGAAUUACCAAUAAUCAUCUCAACAAAAAGUUGAAGAGAGCCAGCAGUAAAAAGAGAAAACAAUAGCUAAAAGAAGAAUCAAGAACAAAGCAAAAGGACUUUGUGAGGAAGGAAAGAAGCUUCCAGGGCUUCAGCAGAAGAAACAAGACCAAGUGGAGCAAAUGCAGUGAAAUCAGGACAUGAGAUCUUUUCAAACUACUUGUAGAGGGUGGUCAGCACAAACAACACACCCUAUUUCAAGGAGGACCUCUGUUGGCUUGUUAUUGUCAUAUGUCCCUGGAGAGAGAAGGGUAUGGACAGUCAUCUUCUCCAUCUUAGGAUACAGACAGCUGUGUCUCCCAAUUUGCCUCAUCUGCUGGCUUCCAGCUAGGUUUGUUCAUGAGAGGCACUCAGGAGAGAUUGGAGAACAGGUACAAGAAACCAGGGUGUUGUGGCAUGAUGUCCCGCAACAGGAGAGCUGACUAAUACAAUAAUCCCCCAAAGUGAUUUGGAAAGUACCUUAAACUGAAAAGAUGGGAACAAUCAGCAGCUGCAGAAACACUACUUGAGUAAAACCUUAAGAAAAAUUUAAAUUUAAGUAGAGUCUCCUAAGAUAUAUCUUCCACUGACCCUUCUCCAAGGGAGUUUCUUGCUUAUGAGAAGACAACCUUGUAUCAAAAAGUCUGAUAAAUAUUCUUGGAAGCCCAACUUCACCCUGACAUUUGUUAGAUUGUAUGGGGGAUUGAACUCAGGACCUUGUGCUUGUGAGGCAGGCGUGGCACCACUGAGCGACAUUCCUGGUGCCCCAUUCUAUUUGAAUAGUGAAAACACAUACCAAGAUAAUGCCUCUGAAUAUUCCUUCUCUACCCCAGUCACAUGAUAUUCAGAUCAGAAAACACUGAUCCCUGCCUGAUAAGCUAGCCUGGUAUCUUCAUCUCCAGAUAAAGCCCAUUACAAGUGCUUUGGCCUUCAGGUCUCUACCCCUUUCCUCCGAUCAUGGAUGCUCUUGCAGCACCUACCAGCCACUGCCACCUGAAAUGAGCAAAAGAUAAACAUAUCCAUGAAUAAGAACAUCUAUAGCAAAUGCUACAAACAACAGCCAGCAUGUAGCGGCUGAGGACAACACUUAGGAACAUGCCACAAUGAUCGGGUCACGUGUAGUGCAAGAGUCCUGGCAACCAUGCUCCUGUGCUUCUGACUUGUCACUAACCCCGAGGUCUUGAGCAAGGCACUCACUGCAUCUGCCCUUCACUUCUCUGAAAAAGGCUAAGAGUGUGGACCAUUAUCCUCUGGUGCCAAUAUUUAAGUGAUGAGACUCUUUGUCCUGAAAGACUUGCAGGAGAAGGGCAGAGCAUCCUGGUUUCUUGCCAAAGGAGGAUUCAGAAUUGGUCUCAUCUUACAGGGGCACCAGUGACUAGAUUGAGGAACUGUCAAAACUGAGGAGAAGACCCCAAGCUGGAGGCCUGUCCCUGGUAUGGUACCACUGCAGUAGACCAGAGUGGAAGAGGAGGGUCCAGGAGUUCAGAGCACAUCAGGGACCCAGAGACAAUUGGGGACUCUAUGUAAU